GGCGGACGGGUGAGUAAUAUAUAGGUAAUGUGCCCUAGAGAAGAGGAUAACAGUUGGAAACGACUGCUAAUACUCUAUAUGCCUUUAAGACAAAAGUCUGCAAGGGAAAUAUUUAUAGCUCUAGGAUCGGCCUGUACGGUAUCAGCUAGUUGGUGAGGUAAUGGCUCACCAAGGCAAUGACGCCUAACUGGUUUGAGAGGAUGAUCAGUCACACUGGAACUGAGACACGGUCCAGACUCCUACGGGAGGCAGCAGUGGGGAAUAUUGCACAAUGGGGGAAACCCUGAUGCAGCAACGCCGCGUGGAGGAUGACACAUUUCGGUGCGUAAACUCCUUUUAUAUAGGAAGAUAAUGACGGUACUAUAUGAAUAAGCGCCGGCUAACUCCGUGCCAGCAGCCGCGGUAAUACGGAGGGCGCAAGCGUUACUCGGAAUCACUGGGCGUAAAGAGCGUGUAGGCGGGUUAAUAAGUUUGAAGUGAAAUCCUAUGGCUCAACCAUAGAACUGCUUUGAAAACUGUUAACCUAGAAUAUGGGAGAGGUAGAUGGAAUUUCUGGUGUAGGGGUAAAAUCCGUAGAGAUCAGAAGGAAUACCGAUUGCGAAGGCGAUCUACUGGAACAUUAUUGACGCUGAGACGCGAAAGCGUGGGGAGCAAACAGGAUUAGAUACCCUGGUAGUCCACGCCCUAAACGAUGUUCACUAGUUGUUGUGAGGCUAGACCUUGCAGUAAUGCAGUAAACACAUUAAGUG
Molecule: ribosomal RNA, 749 nt
Filed under: uncultured Arcobacter sp.
Lineage: Bacteria; Pseudomonadati; Campylobacterota; Epsilonproteobacteria; Campylobacterales; Arcobacteraceae
Description: bacterial SSU rRNA
Rfam family: Bacterial small subunit ribosomal RNA
Source: RNAcentral